UGUGCGCCUUGAAGAUGUUUUCCACCUGGACCUGAUGGCUCCACACAGUAUUGAGGUUGAUGCUGACAUGCUGGAAAGAGGCGGAUGCGGUUCCCUGUCUCACUCACAGGAAGCGCCCAUGUGGGAGACACUGCAAGGGCAGCUCUGAGUGACUGAACCCUGAAACAGCCACACCGUGCAUCAGGCAACAAGAAUCAGACCAGACAGUUCAGACUACACAAGUAAGCAAAUUUAUUUUAAGACAGAACAAAUAUUGUGGCAAACAACAAUACGCAAAUUCAGUUGGUAACAGGGGUAAAUAUCAGACUUUGUUUUCAAAUAGAUAUAAAAUAUAUUCAGAUUUUGUUUUGUCCAAAAAGCAGCUCUUCUGGGGGGGGUUGGGAUGGGAAAGGUCUGUCCACACCAUCCAACAGCCCAUGAAGCUCCAGAACCAGCAGUGACUCCUCUGCCAGCAGGGCUGCAUGCAUGGGCUCUCCCCCCACAGGACGGAGGCGCCUGUUGGAACUCCAGCUCCCCUUCAGUAGUUCCCUCCCUUCUGGUAAAAAGCCAAUUCUUGACACAGACUCCACUUUUGGUUGUGGAGGAGUUGGAGCAGCACCGCAGUGCCCACCUACCAGGGGAUGGAGUGGUCACAGGUGUCCUUUUUAGGCACAGGUAAGCAUGCAGAGAGCUGCUGGGGAAGCAGCUUACCUCCAAAGGCAGAGGAGUCACACUGAGUCCUGGCCCCAUGCUCACCAUAGA
RNAcentral lists this long non-coding RNA (741 nucleotides) under Gallus gallus (chicken). RNAcentral's name for it is "long non-coding RNA NONGGAT006898". Lineage: Eukaryota; Metazoa; Chordata; Aves; Galliformes; Phasianidae. The record is from RNAcentral.